This 433-nucleotide ribosomal RNA is filed under the name uncultured bacterium. RNAcentral describes it as "partial 16S ribosomal RNA". It matches the Rfam family "Bacterial small subunit ribosomal RNA", at positions 29 to 507 of the family's 1533-position model. The record is from RNAcentral.
AACGAACGCUGGCGGCAUGCCUAACACAUGCAAGUCGAACGAGAACUUCGGGUCUAGUGGCGCACGGGUGCGUCACGCGUGGGAACCUGCCCUUAGGUUCGGAAUAACUACCCGAAAGGGGUGAUAAUACCGGAUAAUGUCUUCGGACCAAAGAUUUAUCGCCUUUGGAUGGGCCCGCGUUGGAUUAGCUAGUUGGUAGGGUAAAAGCCUACCAAGGCGACGAUCCAUAGCUGGUCUGAGAGGAUGAUCAGCCACACUGGGACUGAGACACGGCCCAGACUCCUACGGGAGGCAGCAGUGGGGAAUAUUGGACAAUGGGCGAAAUCCUGAUCCAGCAAUGCCGCGUGAGUGAUGAAGGCCUUAGGGUUGUAAAGCGCUUUUACCCGGGAUGAUAAUGACAGUACCGGGAGAAUAAGCUCUGGCUAACUCCGUG